This is a small nuclear RNA of Chlorocebus sabaeus (green monkey), 108 nucleotides long. The record is from Ensembl. NCBI's taxonomy places the organism in Eukaryota, Metazoa, Chordata, Mammalia, Primates, Cercopithecidae.
GUGCUCUCUUUGGCAGCAUAUUUACUAAUAUAGGAAGGAUACAUAAAAGGUUUAGCAGAACCCCUGUGCAUGGUUGACAUGCAUAUCUGUGAAGUGUCUCAUAUUAAA